Molecule: ribosomal RNA, 253 nt
Filed under: uncultured bacterium
Lineage: Bacteria
Description: partial 16S ribosomal RNA
Rfam family: Bacterial small subunit ribosomal RNA
Source: RNAcentral
GACAGAGGGUGCAAACGUUGCUCGGAAUCACUGGGCGUAAAGGGCGUGUAGGCGGGCAUGCAAGUCAGGCGUGAAAUCCCUGGGCUCAACCCAGGAAUUGCACUUGAAACUGCAUGUCUUGAGUAUCGGAGAGGAAAGCGGAAUUCCUGGUGUAGAGGUGAAAUUCGUAGAUAUUCGGAAGAACACCAGUGGCGAAGGCGGCUCACUGGCCCGAUACUGACGCUGAGGCACGAAAGCGUGGGGAGCAAACAGG